RNAcentral lists this small nucleolar RNA (71 nucleotides) under Theropithecus gelada (gelada). RNAcentral describes it as "Small nucleolar RNA SNORD24 (ENSTGEG00000025241.1)". The record is from RNAcentral. Lineage: Eukaryota; Metazoa; Chordata; Mammalia; Primates; Cercopithecidae.
UGUGAAGCGUUCAUAUUUUUGAUGUCUGAAUGAUGGUGAGGACGUCCCUAGCUACCAAGAUUGCUGAUACA